This 433-nucleotide ribosomal RNA is filed under the name uncultured bacterium. Its description in RNAcentral is "partial 16S ribosomal RNA". It matches the Rfam family "Bacterial small subunit ribosomal RNA", at positions 29 to 507 of the family's 1533-position model. The record is from RNAcentral.
AACGAACGCUGGCGGCAUGCCUAACACAUGCAAGUCGAACGAGACCUUCGGGUCUAGUGGCGCACGGGUGCGUAACGCGUGGGAACCUGCCCUUAGGUUCGGAAUAACUCUCCGAAAGGGGUGCUAAUACCGGAUAAUGUCUUCGGACCAAAGAUUUAUCGCCUUUGGAUGGGCCCGCGUUGGAUUAGCUAGUUGGUAGGGUAAAAGCCUACCAAGGCGACGAUCCAUAGCUGGUCUGAGAGGAUGAUCAGCCACACUGAGACUGAGACACGGCCCAGACUCCUACGGGAGGCAGCAGUGGGGAAUAUUGGACAAUGGGCGAAAGCCUGAUCCAGCAAUGCCGCGUGAGUGAUGAAGGCCUUAGGGUUGUAAAGCUCUUUUACCCGGGAUGAUAAUGACAGUACCGGGAGAAUAAGCACCGGCUAACUCCGUG